GGAUGAAGAUGACGAUGGUGGUGGUGGUAAAGUUAAUGAACUUAAUGAUGAAUGAAUAGAAUUAUUAUCAUCAUCAUCAUCACCAUCACCAUCAUAACAU
RNAcentral lists this microRNA precursor (100 nucleotides) under Adineta vaga. RNAcentral's name for it is "microRNA mir-598". The record is from RNAcentral. Lineage: Eukaryota; Metazoa; Rotifera; Eurotatoria; Adinetida; Adinetidae.